ACUCCUGCGGGAGGCAGCAGUGGGGAAUUUUGGACAAUGGGCGAAAGCCUGAUCCAGCAAUGCCGCGUGAGUGAAGAAGGCCUUCGGGUUGUAAAGCUCUUUUGUCAGGGAAGAAACGGUGAAAGCUAAUAUCUUUUGCUAAUGACGGUACCUGAAGAAUAAGCACCGGCUAACUACGUGCCAUCAGCCGCGGUAAUACGUAGGGUGCAAGCGUUAAUCGGAAUUACUGGGCGUAAAGCGUGCGCAGGCGGUUUUGUAAGUCUGAUGUGAAAUCCCCGGGCUCAACCUGGGAAUUGCAUUGGAGACUGCAAGGCUAGAAUCUGGCAGAGGGGGGUAGAAUUCCACGUGUAGCAGUGAAAUGCGUAGAUAUGUGGAGGAACACCGAUGGCGAAGGCAGCCCCCUGGGUCAAGAUUGACGCUCAUGCACGAAAGCGUGGGGAGCAAACAGGAUUAGAAACCCCUGUAGUCCCAUG
This 473-nucleotide ribosomal RNA is filed under the name uncultured organism. RNAcentral describes it as "partial 16S ribosomal RNA". It matches the Rfam family "Bacterial small subunit ribosomal RNA", at positions 335 to 799 of the family's 1533-position model. The record is from RNAcentral.